Molecule: ribosomal RNA, 496 nt
Filed under: uncultured bacterium
Lineage: Bacteria
Description: bacterial SSU rRNA
Rfam family: Bacterial small subunit ribosomal RNA
Source: RNAcentral
AAAUGAAUAGACGGGGGCCCGCACAAGCAGCGGAGCAUGUGGUUUAAUUCGAAGCAACGCGAAGAACCUUACCAGGGCUUGACAUCCCUCUGACCGGCAUAGAGAUAUGCCUUUCCUUCGGGACAGAGGAGACAGGUGGUGCAUGGUUGUCGUCAGCUCGUGUCGUGAGAUGUUGGGUUAAGUCCCGCAACGAGCGCAACCCCUAUCUUUAGUUGCCAUCAAGUUAAGUUGGGCACUCUAGAGAGACUGCCGGGGACAACUCGGAGGAAGGUGGGGACGACGUCAAAUCAUCAUGCCCCUUAUGUCCUGGGCUACACACGUGCUACAAUGGCUAGAGACAAAGGGAAGCGAAGCGGUGACGUGGAGCGAAUCCCAUAAAGCUAGUCCCAGUUCGGAUUGUGGGCUGCAACUCGCCCACAUGAAGUCGGAGUUGCUAGUAAUCGCGAAUCAGCAUGUCGCGGUGAAUGCGUUCCCGGGCCUUGUACACACCGCCCGU